GAUGAAGAACGUAGCGAAAUGCGAUAAGUAAUGUGAAUUGCAGAAUUCAGUGAAUCAUCGAAUCUUUGAACGCACAUUGCGCCCGUCAGUAUUCUGGCGGGCAUGCCUGUUCGAGCGUCAUUACGCCCCUCAAGUCCCCUGUGGACUUGGUGUUGGUGAUCGGCGAGGCUGGUUUUCCAGCACAGCCGUCCCUUAAAUUAAUUGGCGGUCUCGCCGUGGCCCUCCUCUGCGCAGUAGUAAAACACUCGCAACAGGAGCCCGGCGCGGUCCACUGCCGUAAAACCCCCCAACUUUUUAUAGUUGACCUCGAAUCAGGUAGGACUACCCGCUGAACUUAAGCAUAUCAAUAAGCGGAGGA
This 358-nucleotide unclassified non-coding RNA is filed under the name soil metagenome. RNAcentral describes it as "partial contains 5.8S ribosomal RNA, internal transcribed spacer 2, and large subunit ribosomal RNA". The stretch from base 1 to 120 matches the Rfam family "5.8S ribosomal RNA", at positions 35 to 154 of the family's 154-position model. The record is from RNAcentral.